GAAGGGUGCAAGCGUUACUCGGAAUUACUGGGCGUAAAGCGUGCGUAGGUGGUUUGUUAAGUCUGAUGUGAAAGCCCUGGGCUCAACCUGGGAAUUGCAUUGGAUACUGGCAGGCUAGAGUGCGGUAGAGGAUGGCGGAAUUCCCGGUGUAGCAGUGAAAUGCGUAGAGAUCGGGAGGAACAUCUGUGGCGAAGGCGGCCAUCUGGACCAGCACUGACACUGAGGCACGAAAGCGUGGGGAGCAAACAGGAUUAGACACCCUGGUAGUCCACGCCCUAAACGAUGCGAACUGGAUGUUGGGAGCAAUUAGGCUCUCAGUAUCGAAGCUAACGCGUUAAGUUCGCCGCCUGGGGAGUACGGUCGCAAGACUG
This 371-nucleotide ribosomal RNA is filed under the name uncultured bacterium. Its description in RNAcentral is "bacterial SSU rRNA". It matches the Rfam family "Bacterial small subunit ribosomal RNA", at positions 527 to 896 of the family's 1533-position model. The record is from RNAcentral.